CCUUCUCUGUCUUCCAUAUUUUUUCUUUGCCUUCUAACCCUAAACCAUAACAGCCAUAACUUCCGGCGCCACCACCUCCAGCCCUUAAUCUCUCCAUGCAUGACAGCCACCGCAUCACAAUCUUCAAUCGCUUUGUUUUCCUUUUUCUCACUCCUCUCUGUCGCCUCUUUCCCCAACGCCCAAUCUAACCCUAACCCAUACUCCCUGUCCUUUUCCGUGUUCUCCUACUUCUCAGUUUUUCAACAGAAAAAGUUAUCCUAACCCUAGACAACAAUUCCUUUGUUGUCUUCUUCUCAACGAAAAAAUCUAUGGAAUUAACAAGAUGGCAGCAAUACAUUCCCAUUUUCGAAGAAAUUAGGAAAUAGAAAAUAUCAAACACAGCAUCUCUACUAUCCAGUCCACUAAUUUGACAUGCACGUCUAUUUUUGACUUACCAGCUCUGAUGCAAGUUGAUCAGAAGGAAACUAGUAUUAUUCCAAGGGAUGAUGUGCAAAAUGGCGAAUUUUUACAGUCGCAAUCCAUAAUCUACGCUUCUAAGAAGCUUCAAGAUGAUCUACACGUGUUGGGACUCAAAAUCAAGCAGCAUGAGAAUAAUGUAAAGUUUCUGAAAAAUGAGAAAAAUAAAUUAGAAGAUUCCAUUCUGGACUUGCAAGUUAUUCUUGGUAAGUAUCAUUCUGCAACCCAGCCUAACAUUGAAAAUGAUCGCCGCUCGUCCAAUCAGAGUGAGGAGGAAACGACAGAACAGAUUCUACAGCAUGAAAAGUCUGCUGCAGGCAUUCUGUGUCAGCUGAGAUUGCACUAUGGCACUUGUGCUUCUCAUCUUACAUUGACCAAGGAUGUGCUUGGCAUUGUUGCUACGCUUGGCAAAGUCAAUGAUGAUAACCUUAGCAGGCUUCUUUCAGAGUACUUAGGAGUAGAGACUAUGUUGGCAAUUGUCUGUAAGACUUAUGAAGGUGUUACAGCUCUUGAAACAUAUGACAAAGAAGGCCACAUAAAUAAUGACUCUGGUCUUCAUGGCCUUGGUGCUUCUAUUGGGAGGGCUCUGAGUGGUCGAUUUCUUGUCAUUUGUCUUGAAAAUUUAAGGCAUGAAUCUCUUAAUAUGUCUUUUUGCAACCUAGAAUUUCAGUUUGUAAAAAUUCCAAAAGCAUUUUUUCCCCUUUUGUAGACCUUUUUGCGGCGAAUUUAUGGCUGAUGACACACAAAGGAGGCUUGAUCUUCUAAAUCCAAAAUUGCCCAAUGGGGAGUGCCCACCUGGAUUUAUUGGCUUUGCUGUAAAUAUGAUCCAUGUGGAUUCUACAAGCUUGUUUUAUGUCACAUCCAGUGGAUAUGGCCUCCGGGAGACUCUAUUCUAUAACCUGUUCUCUCGUCUGCAAGUUUAUAAAAGUAGGGAAGACAUGUUGCUUGCUCUUCCUUGUAUAACUGAUGGAGCCAUUUCAUUGGAUGGAGGGAUGAUUAAGGCUACUGGUUUAUUUUCCCUAGGCAAUCGGAAUGAUGUGGAUGUAAGAUUCCCAAAACCUUCUCUGGCUGCGAAUUUACCUGACAACUACAGUGAAACUGAGAAGCAGCUCUCGGGGAUGAAAUGGAAAAAGGACAAAUUGAUGGAGGAUGUUAAGCGAGAACAAUCACUGCUGAAUGCUGCAAAGUACAGCUUUGAGAGGAAGAAGGAAGAGUUUGUUAAGUUUCUGGCUGAAAGCUCAGCAUACGCAACUCAGACCCAUUUCCGCGACCGCGACCACGACCACGACCACGACCACGAUUUAAAGCCAUGCUGGUCAUUACAACUCUAAUCUUCUGUGGCUUUGAAUUUACCUAAUAAGUAUGGUGAAACUGAGUGGAAAAAGGAUGCAAUGACAAUGUUAAGCUAGAGCAAGCACUUCCUCUGGAUGUCACCAUCAUCACUGAAAAUAUUAAAAAAAUUUGACAAUGUAGAGCUUGAGAACUUGUAGAUCUUGCCUGCCAGAAUAUGAUUGCUGCAAUAUCCACAUGGCAGAGCAUUGAUAAAUUUCAAGCAUUUUUCAUUAAUCUGCUCCUUUUGGAGAAUGUCACUUGCCUGCUACUUGUCCUUUGACUCACUUCAGCUGCAUCUUUCCACUCCCCAUUUUACCGUUACUAAGCCAAGAACCACAGUCGUCGAUCUGAUUUAGCUGCACCUUCCAUCUUUGGUCCUUGAACCAAUCUAGGGCUACUGGCUACACUGUUGUGGGUUGGGUUUGGGGCUGAGGGAAGGGGAAUGGCAGGGGAGAAAAGGUUUGAGGUUGGGGAUUGAGGAGAGAGAGGGAAACAAUAAAAACUUCUUAAAAAAUUACUUUUAGUUAAUUUUAGUAAAUAUUAUUUUUAUUUUCAAUUUUGACUACUGUGUGAAAUUGAUAACGACUUUGCUAUUCAGUAAAUUAGCCAAAAAAUAAAAGAUUUGGGUGAAAUUGAAAUAGUACACGAAGGUUGUGGUUUAUGCUUUAGGCCCAAAAAAAAAAUGGUAAUGAAACUUGUGCAAAUAAUUUUUUGUGGUAAAUCAGUGGGUUAAUACUAUCUUCAGUUGCACUUCUACCUGUCUAAAUGCAAAAUGUUGAAUGGACUGCCAUGUUGAUAGUGAUAUUUGCUCUUAACUAGUUGUCAGUGUUUGGAACUAUUCAUAUUGUACGCAUUAGAUUGCAAUGAAUUAAUUUUAUUCAUGUAGUUGUGUUGCAUUUCCCAGAAAAUGUAUAUAAUAUAGUUCUCAUGUAUAGUUUUUAAUAUAAUGGCUGCAUCAGAUGCAAGCAGGACAUGACAAUUUCAACCCCAGAUGAUAUUUAGACGGAAGAAAUCCUGUUUUUUAAGAGGAUAGGAACUCAAAUGACUGACAUUGUCAAUUUAUAGUGAAGUAUUUCUCUUAACCGUUCUACUUUCUGGGUCUGGAUGAAGAAUUGUCUUGCUACAAGACGGUAGCGUGCAUUUUUCAGUUUCUGAUGUAAAUUGAUUCUGCAAAUUCAGUGUCCUGAAGCACAGCUGGUUUAUAGGCCUCCCUCAGUUGUUGAUAUGCUUGAGGGAAGGCUCUAAUCCCCAAUUGUCCAACGAAGAUGGAUUUUCCUUAAAGUUCUGUUCGUAUCAAUUGUAGUCUCCCUUUCUUUUGUUUGUUUUAGGACACUGAAUUUUCCUUUUAAGUUCUGUUGGUGCUCUGUCAACCAGAUUGUAUAUACAUGUCAUAAUCCGAGGCUGUUAAUUUUGUAACAUUCUUGCUGAAACAGUUUUAUGAUCAACAGGUAUGUUUUUAACCAUGAGUUUGCAGCUUCAAUUUUCAAUUUGGAUGUUUGAAUAGCCUAAUGUGUUGGUUGGACAUGGUGUAAGAGUUAAAAAGUAGAUUAGCCAUCAUCCACGUGUACAGAUGGUUCAAUCUGAUUUCCGGCAGUGGCAAUGUUGGUUUCUUUUGUUAUUUUAGUCUACAGAAGCAUGAACAUUUCUAUAAAAGCGUGUCAGAUUUAUUACGAAC
RNAcentral lists this unclassified non-coding RNA (3463 nucleotides) under Hevea brasiliensis (rubber tree). The record is from RNAcentral. Lineage: Eukaryota; Viridiplantae; Streptophyta; Magnoliopsida; Malpighiales; Euphorbiaceae.